CUGGUCUCACACCCACCGUCGAUGUCUCCAGCUCGCUUCCUCUCUUUCAUCCAACGGCUUCACCCGCGGCCACGUCGUUUCCGUUAUUGCUCCCAAUACUCCCGCCAUGUACGAGCUUCAGUUCGCCGUUCCCAUGUCCGGUGCUGUCCUCAACAACAUCAACACUCGCCUGGACGCGCGUACCAUCUCCAUACUCCUGCGUCACAGCGAAUCAAAGCUCGUCUUCGUUGAUUGCUUGUCACGUGCUGUUAUCCUUGAAGCUAUCUCUUUGUUUCCACCUAACUCUCCACGUCCUGCCCUCGUCCUCAUCACCGAUGAUGAUCAGGCACCAGAGUUAUCAUCACCAUCAUCACUGACCGUUGAUUUUUGUUGUACGUACGAAAGCAUGGUGGAGAAGGGUGAUCCGGCGUUCAACUGGGUCCAGCCUCAAAGCGAGUGGGAUCCGAUGGUUUUGAACUAUACAUCAGGUACUACCUCAUCUCCUAAAGGUGUGGUACACUGCCACAGGGGGGUUUUCAUCGUAACCGUUGAAUCCCUGAUUGAUUGGAGUGUUCCAAGACAACCUGUUUAUUUGUGGACCCUUCCAAUAUUCCACGCCAACGGAUGGAGCUACCCGUGGGGUAUAGCUGCGGUUGGUGGGACCAACAUCUGUCUUCGUAAAUUCGAUGGCCCUACUAUCUUCGGCAU
Molecule: unclassified non-coding RNA, 687 nt
Filed under: Hevea brasiliensis (rubber tree)
Lineage: Eukaryota; Viridiplantae; Streptophyta; Magnoliopsida; Malpighiales; Euphorbiaceae
Source: RNAcentral